AACCAAGACUUGAACCCAAGUUUUGAUAUCAGGAUUCACCCAUCCUUUAACCAUUAUACAACAAAAUAUUCGCUUUCCCUUUCAACAUUUCUUCUCAAUACCCUAACUUUCAUCAUUCUCCACGUACUGUAUUCUGUCGGAUACCAGGACACUCGUAAGGACACCCAAGCCGUCCUUUAUCCCUGCCAUUCCCCGCAGACACUUGGCACACCCCUGCCUCUCCCCCCCCCCUCCUCCUCCUCCUCCUCCUCCUCCUCCUCCUCCGGGUGGCAGGACCCCCAUCCUUCUCGGAGCCGCACCCAACGUCCACACCUCCCCGCAGUCUGGUUCUCCAUUCCCAACUGCCACCCACACCCAUGCCCACCAGUGACCUUCUCACUUCUCAUCCAAACCUCCCUCCUUCAUCCUCCUCCCCACGCCCGUUCCGGCCCUCCCCUCCUUCUCAUCCAAUCCCAAUUUCCAGGCACACGCCCCCGCCCCCGGAUCCAUCCCGAGCCGUCCCACCCCAGGCUCGCUCCAGGCCUUCCCGCCUUCGUCGCCAGCCCCCACCGCUCCGCCCGAUGCCGGAGAACGGCCUCGACCCGGCCUGGCACUCACCGCCGAGGAGCCGAUCCGAGCGGGCCCGCGGGACGAGGCGGGGCGGGAGACGCGCAGGUUGUUCCCUUCAGGCGUCCAGCGAUGCGGCGGCCAUUUUGUUGUGUUGUGCCGGUUGCCCAGGGGCCGCGCGCGCGCGGCGUGGGCGGGGCCUGCCGCGGCCACGCCUCUCCUGGGGCCGUUGAGUGGGCGGGGCACGGCUUCCCGCCGCCUUUGCCGCCCCGAACCGUGGCGCCCUGGGUCGCGGGGCGCCUUGGCGUCCUUGGCUGCCUGAGGACGCGAGCUUUCCUGCUGCAGUCGCCGACUAGCCCAUCUCCCUUCCCUGGGGCGAAGCCGCAGCUGCCUCACGCCAGACCUCGGACACGCUCCUGGUGGGCUGAGCCGGAGGCCGACCUGAGAGACCGACUUAGCGCAGUCGCCGCGCAACCGCCCUUUCGGUGCUGGCCGCAGCUUCUGGCGCGGCCUGUUUCUGAGGCGAGGGCUCUCCUUCCGGGACCAGUCAGGGAGCGAGCCGGGCCCGGGGAACCGGGCAGCGAACGUUCUCGUGCGCUGUGCAGAAUAUUCCUCCGGCUGGGGACCGAGAAGCAAAAGCAAGCAGCCUCUGAGGAGACGUGGGUUAGGGCUUUCCUGAAAGUGCUACGUUUCACCACAUACAUUCAGCAUUCAUUUAAGUAG
This 1269-nucleotide long non-coding RNA is filed under the name Felis catus (domestic cat). Its description in RNAcentral is "lncRNA (ENSFCAG00000047390.1)". Lineage: Eukaryota; Metazoa; Chordata; Mammalia; Carnivora; Felidae. The record is from RNAcentral.